RNAcentral lists this ribosomal RNA (254 nucleotides) under uncultured bacterium. Its description in RNAcentral is "partial 16S ribosomal RNA". It matches the Rfam family "Bacterial small subunit ribosomal RNA", at positions 524 to 776 of the family's 1533-position model. The record is from RNAcentral.
UACGUAGGGUGCGAGCGUUGUCCGGAAUUAUUGGGCGUAAAGAGCUCGUAGGCGGUGUGUCACGUCGGCCGUGAAAACCUGCAGCUUAACUGUGGGCGUGCGGUCGAUACGGGCAUCACUGGAGUUCGGCAGGGGAGACUGGAAUUCCUGGUGUAGCGGUGAAAUGCGCAGACAUCAGGAGGAACACCGGUGGCGAAGGCGGGUCUCUGGGCCGAUACUGACGCUGAGGAGCGAAAGCGUGGGGAGCAAACAGG